Molecule: ribosomal RNA, 133 nt
Filed under: uncultured bacterium
Lineage: Bacteria
Description: partial 16S ribosomal RNA
Rfam family: Bacterial small subunit ribosomal RNA
Source: RNAcentral
GAUUUGCGCAAUGGGCGAAAGCCUGAUGCAGCAAUGACCGCGUGAGGGAUGACGGCCUAUGGGUUGUAAACCUCUUUUUUCAGGGAGGAAUCAAUGACGUGUACCUGAAUAAUAAGCAUCGGCUACCUCCGUG